UGUAGUUUAGUGGUAGAAUGUUUGUCUAGUAUGCAAUAAGGCUCUGGGUUCAAAUCCCAGCA
Molecule: transfer RNA, 62 nt
Filed under: Ictidomys tridecemlineatus (thirteen-lined ground squirrel)
Lineage: Eukaryota; Metazoa; Chordata; Mammalia; Rodentia; Sciuridae
Also listed under: 1 other name
Description: Spermophilus tridecemlineatus (thirteen-lined ground squirrel) tRNA
Rfam family: tRNA
About the family: Transfer RNA (tRNA) molecules are approximately 80 nucleotides in length. Their secondary structure includes four short double-helical elements and three loops (D, anti-codon, and T loops).
Source: Rfam by way of RNAcentral